AUUGAACGCUGGCGGCAUGCCUUACACAUGCAAGUCGAACGGCAGCACGGGAGCAAUCCUGGUGGCGAGUGGCGAACGGGUGAGUAAAGUAUCGGAACGUGCCCAGUCGUGGGGGAUAACGUAGCGAAAGUUACGCUAAUACCGCAUACGAUCUAUGGAUGAAAGCGGGGGAUCGCAAGACCCCGCGCGAUUGGAGCGGCCGAUAUCAGAUUAGGUAGUUGGUGGGGUAAAGGCUCACCAAGCCGACGAUCUGUAGCUGGUCUGAGAGGACGACCAGCCACACUGGGACUGAGACACGGCCCAGACUCCUACGGGAGGCAGCAGUGGGGAAUUUUGGACAAUGGGCGAAAGCCUGAUCCAGCCAUGCCGCGUGCAGGAUGAAGGCCUUCGGGUUGUAAACUGCUUUUGUACGGAACGAAAAGGUUUGGCCUAAUAAGCUGAGCUCAUGACGGUACCGUAAGAAUAAGCACCGGCUAACUCUGUGCCAGCAGCCGCCGUAA
RNAcentral lists this ribosomal RNA (500 nucleotides) under uncultured bacterium. RNAcentral's name for it is "partial 16S ribosomal RNA". It matches the Rfam family "Bacterial small subunit ribosomal RNA", at positions 30 to 523 of the family's 1533-position model. The record is from RNAcentral.